RNAcentral lists this unclassified non-coding RNA (892 nucleotides) under Camponotus floridanus (Florida carpenter ant). RNAcentral describes it as "uPF0547 protein C16orf87, transcript variant X2". The record is from RNAcentral. Lineage: Eukaryota; Metazoa; Arthropoda; Insecta; Hymenoptera; Formicidae.
AUAUCAUAUAGUUGGCGGCGCUGAGUAACUGCAUUGAAGGAGCCACAAUCGCUUGUUUCUUUGUUACGAUUGCUAUAUAUUUAUAUUUCUGAAUUGAAAGGUAUAAUCUCUUUGUCUAUCAUUGCAAUAGAGUCCAGCUCGAAAUAUGGCCAAAACUAAGACGAUUAGCAAAGGAUGUCCCAAGUGCGAACAACAGGUACCUGUUGCCUGUAAAGCUUGUCCCUGUGGACAUUCCUUCUUCAAUGCACGGCGCAAUUCCAUCAAAAGUCCACCAAGUCCUGAUGGUGGAGUGAUGAAGACAAGGAGAACUAAUCGUAUUAAACGCGAGAAACCAAAUUAUUACGAUGCUUUGGAAUAUGACAAACAGACAAAAAAAAAUACCAAAAUCAGACGGACUAUAGAUACUGCAAAUGAUAUUGAUUGUCGGCAGUUGAACAAAAAGAAGAAGCGGAAAGGAAAGGGAAAGGGCAAAAGUGGCAGUAAUAGUGGAGUAGGUGAUGAUGAUGAUGAAAUGGAUGGGAUCAAUGGUUUAUCUCCAGAGAAACAACUCACUUGUUCUCUCAUAUUGCAAGAACUGAACAACAAAAUGAGAGUGGUAGCUUGGAAGCCUACAUGAAAUUAAAAUUAGAUACAGAUACAUGCGUAUCUCUUUGACAAAUCUGACAUCAGUUCAACACGAUUGCUUUACUACGUACAGUGGCGUAGUGAGGCGCAAAUAAAACAAAGCUGAAAAGUACCAGUGAGUGGUGGAAUGGAAAUCGCACCGAAGCUCUGGAACAUCCUCACCAGACCGUAGCUGGACGAUAUUUUGUCGGUGCCAUAUUGAUCGGCGAGCAGGACGGGAACUAGGAGAAACCAACAACCUAGGCAUAGUCCAUACAUUCCGACGGAA